UACGUAGGGUGCGAGCGUUAAUCGGAAUUACUGGGCGUAAAGCGUGCGCAGGCGGUUUUGUAAGCCAGAUGUGAAAUCCCCGGGCUCAACCUGGGAACUGCAUUUGUGACUGCAUGGCUAGAGUACGGUAGAGGGGGAUGGAAUUCCGCGUGUAGCAGUGAAAUGCGUAGAUAUGCGGAGGAACACCGAUGGCGAAGGCAGCCCCCUGGGCUAACACUGACGCUCAUGCACGAAAGCGUGGGGAGCAAACAGG
This 253-nucleotide ribosomal RNA is filed under the name uncultured bacterium. RNAcentral describes it as "partial 16S ribosomal RNA". It matches the Rfam family "Bacterial small subunit ribosomal RNA", at positions 524 to 776 of the family's 1533-position model. The record is from RNAcentral.